GGCUUCCCUUUUCGUCCACGCCCUCAGGAGCGGUAGCACUUUCCCGGAAAGUUGUGGGGCUGCGGGUCUAAAGUUUCGGGGGCUAGGGGCCGAAGGUGGCCGCCGCUCCGCCUCCCUCCGCCGCCAUUUACUGCGCCCCGGCCCGGCCUCGACGCGCCCGCACCAACACUGACAGCGGCGGCCGCGCUCCAGACCCGGAUGUGAGGCCGGGAGGAGAGAGCGCGAGAGGGAGAGAGAAACACCCACCGGGCGGCUCGGCCGCUCCCGGGAGAGGAGGCCGCAGCGCCCCCUGGUGGCAGGCGCCGGGCGCGGGGUGGCCGGCCGCCGCCGGGUGCUGGCCGCAGGAGACCCCGCGAAGAGGACCCGGGGAAGAGCCGGCGGCUCCUGAGGACCAGGGCAACUGGGGCACUGGAUUGGCCAAAGCUUGUUCGUGUCUCAGGAUGCUGGAGGAACUCUGCCUGUCCCUAAUGCUCUGUGAGGCUUUCCUAACCUCACAGGGAGUGGAGUGGUAGGAAUCUUCUCAUUGGCGACCAAGACUGAGCCAAAGAGAAAAAGUCACAGGGUCCACACAUCCUACUCCGGGCUCAGAACUGUGUCGCUGUGACAUAGCUAAAGGUACCAGAAAGACCAGAAUCCUCAGUACAAGUGAGACCUGCUGUGAUGCCUCCCUCGGAACAAUGGUGAUGAAAGUCAACAUCAGCAGCACAUCACCUACACUCCUGGGGCAAGACCAAGAGCAAGAGAUGAGCUGUGGGGGUCUGGCACUGUGGUUCCUGCAGGACAUCACUUCCGCCUCACAGGAAAGUCCCCCAUGGGAAGACUGAAGGCGCUGGAAGACCAAUAGAAAAGCACCAAGCAGCCUAUGUAAAUGGAUUGAUUCGUGUAAAGAAAGGACAAACAACAGCAACAGAAUCAGGCUCCCUCCAAACCGCCGCACUGAUGGGGCAGGAGCCAGGUGCUUCUCCUGGUCUCCCAUGGGGUGCAGGGCCCAAGCACUUGGGCCAUCCUCCACUGCACUCCCAGGCCACAGCAGAGAGCUGGCCUGGAAGAGGGGCAAAUGGGACUAGAACCCAGUGUGCCAGCGCUGCAGGCAGAGGAUUAGCCUAUUGAGCCGCAGUGCCUGCCUUCAGGCUCUCUCUUCUAAGAGCUUACUCAGACGCAACCAGAUGGGUCCUCCUGGCCACCAGCACCUCUCUCACAGACCCACUUUCCAGGAUGGAGGAAGGCUGUCCCGACUUCAGAGAAGCAGCCUGUCCCUGUGACCGUCCCUCCUUGUCACAUACUCUUCCGUGGCGGCAGAAGCUCAGAAAGACAGGGGAGCCUGCAGGAAGGGGAGCCUGCCUUCUCAGCCCCUGCUGGACACUUACUGGGUGGGCUGGGUGGCAGGAGGUUUGAGGGUUUCACAAGGGAAUGAGAUUUUUCUCUGUAUCUGUCACUUGAAUUUAUAUUUCUAGGUAAGAGGGGAAAGAAAUACAAUAACACAUGGACCCUUUGAGGUCAAGUCUAAUUCCUUUCCUAUAAAUUUCCAGACAUACCCAUUUUUAAAAGUGACAUCAUGAAAAAGCUAUUUUAAAACAGAUGGUCUAUAUUAUACAGCUACAGAUUAAAGAUGUUGGCUUUCAGGUAAGAUCAAACAGUUACUUACUGCCAGCAAAUACAUGGACUGUUAAAAAAAAAACUGGUAAUUCUCAUUUACUUUUUAGAAUAAAUUACAUGUGUUGAAAUUCCUUGUUCCUGGU
Long non-coding RNA from Oryctolagus cuniculus (rabbit), 1739 nucleotides. The record is from Ensembl. NCBI's taxonomy places the organism in Eukaryota, Metazoa, Chordata, Mammalia, Lagomorpha, Leporidae.